CAUAUACUCCCUCCGUUUGAAAUUACUUGUCUCGAAAAUGAAUGUAUCUAGAACUAAAACACGUCUAAAUACAUUCAUUUCUGUGACAAGUAAUUCCAACGAAGGGAGUAUAUA
Non-coding RNA from Triticum urartu, 114 nucleotides. NCBI's taxonomy places the organism in Eukaryota, Viridiplantae, Streptophyta, Magnoliopsida, Poales, Poaceae. The record is from Rfam.